Long non-coding RNA from Tupaia belangeri chinensis (Chinese tree shrew), 1469 nucleotides. RefSeq lists it as uncharacterized. The transcript has 5 exons. The record is from RefSeq and is a predicted model, not a curated record. Lineage: Eukaryota; Metazoa; Chordata; Mammalia; Scandentia; Tupaiidae.
GUCCUUCAACUCCUGGAAGUUCACUGAGCCCUGGGCAAGCAUAACCAGGAAAUAUGUGAAAGUUGAAGCUGUGUGAUGCAGAGUAGCCCUCAACCAAUGGGCACUUGAGCUGUGGCUCAUCUGACUAAACCAGAAACAUUUACGGAAUACCUAUUAUGUCUCGCACCAUGCUGUACUAUAGAAUAUUACAAAGAUGAAGAGACCAACCCCAGGAAUUAGGGGACUGGCUCAUGAUAAAGUGACGGAGAAAGAAAUAGUGCAUAAAGUAUUACAACUGUUGGGACAGAGGAAACGUACUGUUGGAAGACAGAGCGGGUCAGGAACUAGUAGUGUACCAUCUUGGCUCUAGAAGAUAGUGGCACUUCAUCUCGGAAAGGUGGGAAAAAGCAUCCCAGGAUACUCAGAAAUACAUCAGCAAAAGAGAAGUCUUUUCUCAAGUUGAGGGCCCCGCCAUUGCAAAGGGGCGAGGAGCCAGAACCCAGGUGGCCUGUUUGGCAUGCGGUGGGCGCACAACUGCUCUCGACGCACUUAAGCCGAACGCGGAAGUCACGCAGCACCUCCACGGACAGGCACUCCUGGGGAGAAGCGCUGAGAAAUCCAGAAAUCUGUCCCAAGUCCCAGGGAUGAGCACCAACCACAGAGACGCCAGCCCAGCCAGGUUCUGGUCAGCCCCAGGCUCCCCAGCGGCGACAGGGAAGCGCGAUCCCAGCAGACCUGGCCCAGGCGCUCCCGAGGCGGCUGAGCAUGCUCAGUUGCUAGGACGCGGUGGCUCCGGAGCCCGGAGCCGCGCUGCAGAGUCCCAGCCCCGCAGGCUCUUGGCCCGGGAGGGGGCUCGCGCCGUGGGGGCGGGGCCUUGGGCACCCGCGCCCUCCUAGCCCGCUGGCCCUCGGUCCCCCAGCCCCCAGCCACGCGUCCGCCGCCUGCGCGCCGGCCGUCCGUUGCCCUGGCAACCGUCGUGCCGCGUCUUCCUGAGGGAGUUCCUGUCAGCCCGCUGACCCCACCGCCCGCUCCCCACUGGCCCGCGGUUUUCGCGUGGGCUCGGAGACUGAGGGACAACAAAAAUGGCGGAGCGGAGCCAGACAGCGCCUGAGGCAGGAGCCUUGUUUAGUGGAGCCUUGUUUUGAGAUGAGAAAGAGGAUAAACGACAACUAGCCACCAAAAUUAUCUUUAAUAAUUUAUUUAUACAACAAAAACUUUGAUCAGUCAUGCUGGCACAGGAAUAACUCAAUGCUUGCAAUACUGAGACAUAUGAGAAGGUUCCAGGUUCACUUCUCAAGAUCUCCCUGUGCAUGCUUCUUGCUUUCCUGUAGCUGAAAAUCAGGGCCUUGUAGCUUUUUUGAUGAAGAAGACCAGAAUGAGGAUAAGCAAGAUGAGGCAUCUCAGUCCUGAGUCACAAUGAAGCCUUAACAAGAUGAAGGGGAAGAGCUGUACUUGGACACAUGGGGACCCUGGACCAAAGAGAACCACUC